RNAcentral lists this ribosomal RNA (319 nucleotides) under Pseudococcus viburni (obscure mealybug). RNAcentral's name for it is "partial 28S ribosomal RNA". Lineage: Eukaryota; Metazoa; Arthropoda; Insecta; Hemiptera; Pseudococcidae. The record is from RNAcentral.
AAACCGUUCGGGGGUAAACGGACAGAGCCCGUGAAUCCGGGCGACGGAAUUCAGAAUCGACGGCGUUCGCGCGUCGUCGGUUCGAUAUUUCCGUCGCCGACCAUUUACACGGACGUCGCGACCCGUUCGGUGUCGGUCUGCAGGAGACGUGCGAAAGUUCGUGUGCGUUCGCCGGGGUUUCGGCUUCGGCGGGCGUUUCGCGAGUGCGCGUUCUUUUCUGGCCGACUCGCCGGACGGUAUGCGAAGCGGUGAUCGCGGCGGCCUCUCGUCAGCGCCGUCGCGUUACCGGUCUGCGACGAAUCUUCGGGCCUCUUUCCGA